Molecule: ribosomal RNA, 365 nt
Filed under: uncultured Leptolinea sp.
Lineage: Bacteria; Bacillati; Chloroflexota; Anaerolineae; Anaerolineales; Anaerolineaceae
Description: bacterial SSU rRNA
Rfam family: Bacterial small subunit ribosomal RNA
Source: RNAcentral
UGAAAAGGGACCGACCCUUCGGGGAGCCUAUACAGGUGUUGCAUGGCUGUCGUCAGCUCGUGUCGUGAGAUGUUCGGUUAAGUCCGCUAACGAGCGCAACCCUCGCUGUGUGUUAUAUGUGUCACACGGGACUGCCGGUCUUAAGCCGGAGGAAGGCGGGGAUGAUGUCAAGUCAGCAUGGCCUUUAUAUCCUGGGCUACACACACGCUACAAUGGCCAACACAAUAGGUUGCUAAGCCGCGAGGUGGCGCCAAUCCAUAAAGUUGGUCUCAGUUCAGAUUGUAGGCUGCAACCCGCCUGCAUGAAGAUGGAGUUGCUAGUAACCGCAGGUCAGCUAUACUGCGGUGAAUACGUUCCCGGGGCUU